Molecule: ribosomal RNA, 1343 nt
Filed under: uncultured bacterium
Lineage: Bacteria
Description: 16S ribosomal RNA
Rfam family: Bacterial small subunit ribosomal RNA
Source: RNAcentral
GACGAACGCUGGCGGCGUGCUUAACACAUGCAAGUCGAACGGAAAGGCCCUGCUUUUGUGGGGUGCUCGAGUGGCGAACGGGUGAGUAACACGUGAGUAACCUGCCCUUGACUUUGGGAUAACUGCAGGAAACUGGGGCUAAUACCGGAUAGGAGCUCCUGCUGCAUGGUGGGGGUUGGAAAGUUUCGGCGGUUGGGGAUGGACUCGCGGCUUAUCAGCUUGUUGGUGGGGUAGUGGCUUACCAAGGCUUUGACGGGUAGCCGGCCUGAGAGGGUGACCGGCCACAUUGGGACUGAGAUACGGCCCAGACUCCUACGGGAGGCAGCAGUGGGGAAUAUUGCACAAUGGGCGGAAGCCUGAUGCAGCAACGCCGCGUGCGGGAUGACGGCCUUCGGGUUGUAAACCGCUUUCGCCUGUGACGAAGCGUGAGUGACGGUAAUGGGUAAAGAAGCACCGGCUAACUACGUGCCAGCAGCCGCGGUGAUACGUAGGGUGCGAGCGUUGUCCGGAUUUAUUGGGCGUAAAGGGCUCGUAGGUGGUUGAUCGCGUCGGAAGUGUAAUCUUGGGGCUUAACCCUGAGCGUGCUUUCGAUACGGGUUGACUUGAGGAAGGUAGGGGAGAAUGGAAUUCCUGGUGGAGCGGUGGAAUGCGCAGAUAUCAGGAGGAACACCAGUGGCGAAGGCGGUUCUCUGGGCCUUUCCUGACGCUGAGGAGCGAAAGCGUGGGGAGCGAACAGGCUUAGAUACCCUGGUAGUCCACGCUGUAAACGGUGGGUACUAGGUGUGGGGUCCAUUCCACGGGUUCCGUGCCGUAGCUAACGCUUUAAGUACCCCGCCUGGGGAGUACGGCCGCAAGGCUAAAACUCAAAGGAAUUGACGGGGCCCCGCACAAGCGGCGGAGCAUGCGGAUUAAUUCGAUGCAACGCGUAGAACCUUACCUGGGUUUGACAUGGAUCGGGAGCGCUCAGAGAUGGGUGUGCCUCUUUUGGGGUCGGUUCACAGGUGGUGCAUGGCUGUCGUCAGCUCGUGUCGUGAGAUGUUGGGUUAAGUCCCGCAACGAGCGCAACCCUUGUUCACUGUUGCCAGCACGUUAUGGUGGGGACUCAGUGGAGACCGCCGGGGUCAACUCGGAGGAAGGUGGGGAUGACGUCAAGUCAUCAUGCCCCUUAUGUCCAGGGCUUCACGCAUGCUACAAUGGCUGGUACAGAGAGUGGCGAGCCUGUGAGGGUGAGCGAAUCUCGGAAAGCCGGUCUCAGUUCGGAUUGGGGUCUGCAACUCGACCUCAUGAAGUCGGAGUCGCUAGUAAUCGCAGAUCAGCAACGCUGCGGUGAAUACGUUCCCGGG